GUGCAAAGCAAAGUUUUUUUGUAAACCGUCUGCAAAGGCGGGGGGGCGAAGAAGGCGCCCGAGACCGGGCCGAGUGCAGCUGCCGUGGCCGCCGCCUCUCUAGCUCCUCAGCCAUCCGCUCCUCAGUCCAGCCGCCGCAGAGGAGACCAGCAAGCAGAGCCCUCAGAUGCUCGGAGCUUUCUCGGCGCGAAGCUGCCCGUCGCCCUCUCCUGCCGCCCUCGCCCGCCGCCCUCCUGCUCCUGCUCCGGCUGCGGCUCUUGGUACCCCGGCUCCGGGAGCCCAGCUCCCCGCCACCGCCGCCGCCUGGGUGUGGGGGCUGCUGAGGCUGAGCCGGGCCUCGGCGCCGGCUC
This 350-nucleotide long non-coding RNA is filed under the name Homo sapiens (human). RNAcentral's name for it is "lncAB56.1". The record is from RNAcentral. Lineage: Eukaryota; Metazoa; Chordata; Mammalia; Primates; Hominidae.